This 468-nucleotide ribosomal RNA is filed under the name uncultured bacterium. Its description in RNAcentral is "partial 16S ribosomal RNA". It matches the Rfam family "Bacterial small subunit ribosomal RNA", at positions 28 to 507 of the family's 1533-position model. The record is from RNAcentral.
GACGAACGCUGGCGGCGUGCUUAACACAUGCAAGUCGAACGGAAAGGCCCUGCUUUUGUGGUGUGCUCGAGUGGCGAACGGGUGAGUAACACGUGAGUAACCUGCCCUUGACUUUGGGAUAACUUCAGGAAACUGGGGCUAAUACCGUAUAGGAGCUCCUGCUGCAUUGUGGGGGUUGGAAAGUUUCGGCGGUUGGGGAUGGACUCGCGGCUUAUCAGCUUGUUGGUGGGGUAGUGGCUUACCAAGGCUUUGACGGGUAGCCGGCCUGAGAGGGUGACCGGCCACAUUGGGACUGAGAGACGGCGCAGACUGCUACGGGAGGCAGAAGGGGGGAAUAUUGCACAAUGGGCGGAAGCCUGAUGCAGAAACGCCGCGUGCGGGAUGACGGCCUGCGGGUUGUAAACCGCUUUCGCCUGUGACGAAGCGGGAGUGACGGUAAUGGGUAAAGAAGCACCGGCUAACUACGUG